UGUAGUCUUUUUACUGCUCUGGGUGUAUUGUUCUCAAUCUUGGAGGCUAAAUAGCAUAAGUUGGGCUGGGCCUGGUUUGUACUAGGAUGGAGAACCACCUGGGAAUACCAGGUGCUGUGGCUAAAC
RNAcentral lists this ribosomal RNA (126 nucleotides) under Monopterus albus (swamp eel). Lineage: Eukaryota; Metazoa; Chordata; Actinopteri; Synbranchiformes; Synbranchidae. The record is from RNAcentral.